This 587-nucleotide ribosomal RNA is filed under the name uncultured Singulisphaera sp. Its description in RNAcentral is "bacterial SSU rRNA". It matches the Rfam family "Bacterial small subunit ribosomal RNA", at positions 31 to 631 of the family's 1533-position model. The record is from RNAcentral. Lineage: Bacteria; Pseudomonadati; Planctomycetota; Planctomycetia; Isosphaerales; Isosphaeraceae.
GAACGUUGGCGGCGUGGAUUAGGCAUGCAAGUCGAACGGGCCCGGUUUUCGGACCGGGUCAGUGGCGCAAGGGUGAGUAAGACGACGGUAACCAACCCCAUGGUCGGGUAUAGCCGCGGGAAACUGCGGGUAAUCCCCAGCGACGUAAGAGGCCGGCAUCGGCCUCUUACCAAAGCUCCGGCGCCGUGGGACGGGCCGUUGUGGUAUUAGGUAGUUGGCGGGGUAACGGCCCACCAAGCCGAUGAUGCCUACCGGGCGUGCGAGCGUGGCCCGGCACACUGGGACUGAGACACUGCCCAGGCUCCUACGGGAGGCUGCAGUCGAGAAUCUUCGGCAAUGGGCGCAAGCCUGACCGAGCGACGCCGCGUGGAGGAUGAAGGCCUUCGGGUUGUAAACUCCUGUCGAGGGGGAGGAAGGCGCAAGCUUGACCGAUCCCUGGAGGAAGCACGGGCUAAGUUCGUGCCAGCAGCCGCGGUAAGACGAACCGUGCGAACGUUAUUCGGAAUCACUGGGCUUAAAGCGCGUGUAGGCGGAUGGGAACGUCGGUAGUUGAAAGCCCCCGGCUCAACCGGGGAAGUGGUGCCGAA